RNAcentral lists this ribosomal RNA (234 nucleotides) under uncultured Actinomycetales bacterium. RNAcentral describes it as "partial 16S ribosomal RNA". It matches the Rfam family "Bacterial small subunit ribosomal RNA", at positions 96 to 334 of the family's 1533-position model. Lineage: Bacteria; Bacillati; Actinomycetota; Actinomycetes; Actinomycetales. The record is from RNAcentral.
UGGCGAACGGGUGAGUAACACGUGGGUGAUCUGCAUUGCACUUCGGGAUAAGCCUGGGAAACUGGGUCUAAUACCGGAUAGGACCAUGCUUUAGUGUGUGUGGUGGAAAGUUUUUCGGUGCAAGAUGAGCCCGCGGCCUAUCAGCUUGUUGGUGGGGUAAUGGCCUACCAAGGCGACGACGGGUAGCCGGCCUGAGAGGGUGUACGGCCACAUUGGGACUGAGACACGGCCCAG